This 377-nucleotide unclassified non-coding RNA is filed under the name uncultured Oligoflexaceae bacterium. Its description in RNAcentral is "contains 16S-23S intergenic spacer region". Lineage: Bacteria; Pseudomonadati; Bdellovibrionota; Oligoflexia; Oligoflexales; Oligoflexaceae. The record is from RNAcentral.
UCCGGUUUAACACCGGCAGUCUUCUUAGAGUCCCCAACUUAAUGCUGGUAACUAAGAACAGGGGUUGCGCUCGUUAUCGGACUUAACCGGACAUCUUACGACACGAGCUGACGACAGCCAUGCAGCACCUAUCACCAAGUCCCCGAAAGGAAGAUCCCAUCUCUGGGACUGUCUUGGGAUGUUAAGGGUAGGUAAGGUUCUGCGCGUUGCUUCGAAUUAAACCACAUACUCCACCGCUUGUGCGGGCCCCCGUCAAUUCCUUUGAGUUUUAGCCUUGCGACCGUACUCCCCAGGCGGGAUACUUAACGCGUUAGCUGUAGUACUCAGGAGGUUAACUUCCCGAACACCUAGUAUCCAUAGUUUACGGCGUGGACUAC